This 73-nucleotide transfer RNA is filed under the name Camelus bactrianus (Bactrian camel). It matches the Rfam family "tRNA". Rfam says of the family: Transfer RNA (tRNA) molecules are approximately 80 nucleotides in length. Their secondary structure includes four short double-helical elements and three loops (D, anti-codon, and T loops). RNAcentral also lists the same sequence under 2 other names. The record is from Rfam by way of RNAcentral. Lineage: Eukaryota; Metazoa; Chordata; Mammalia; Artiodactyla; Camelidae.
GAGGGUAUAGCUCAAAUGGUAAAGUGCAUGCUUGGUACGCAUGAGAUCCUGGGUUCAAUCCCCAGUAUCCCCU